CUCGAGACAUAUUGGAAAAUGUAAGUAUGAAGCAGGAUAUCCGCAUGUUGUUAUCUGUAUGGGGAGAGUUUUGCUCAGAAGCCUUUCCAUUAUUACUUACCCUAUGCUUAUAUUUGCCCUUACUCUUAUCCUUUAUAAAGUAAAGUCCCGCUCUUGUUCUAGUGGCUUCACCAAACCAUAACUGUCCCUUUGGGAUUAGGGAGUUGAACUGUAAGCUUCUGUCUAACAACAAUUUCUUUUUGCAGCUCCUAAAGAAAGAUCCAGAGCAGCGCCUUGGGGCCGGAGAACAUGGAGCCGAGGGCGUAAAGAAGAGCCCAUUCUUUGAGGGAUUAGACUGGGAGGCUCUUGAAAAGAAAGAGAUCGAGCCGCCAUUUAUCCCCAGAGGAAGAGCACACGGACAACCUGAAAUCAGCCUUAAACUAAAGGCUCAGGUUGAAGCCAAAGUGUGCGAAGAAGCCGAAUGGGCACUGGUGGAGCUGAACUACCCUUUGAGUUCAGCUUCAGAAACAGAAGAAGAAUUGUAAGAAGCGUUCCUCGGAAUGAAGCAGAGAUGAUUGGCAGGAAGAAAGUCUGUUCCCAGCUUGAGAAAUCCAAUCAGCGUUCCGGAGUCCUAUUAUGGAUUGAAAAUGCAAACGUCGCAACUCCGGGAGUAGGAAAAGGGGUGAGUCUGUUGGGCAGGAUGUCGGGUCAGUCAAGAGUUAAUUUGCCCAACAGGGGUGGAGGAGGGUUCAACUUUAAGGCAAAAACAUGGCUUAAAGUUAAAAAAAAACGAAACAAAGUCAUGAUCGUCAGGUUAAUGGCUAUGGGCCGUCAACGGCAACCUGUAAGGACUUUGCUAUAUUGGUCGGAUCUCUGAAGGAAACUGGAUCCCAGUGCACAUUGCAGCAGAAAGUCCGGGGGCCAAAAGGGCGUCGGUGAAGCCCAAUGUUAGCCGGGGUUCAGCUGUACGUGGAAGAGUCUGACUUCGUCAGGAGGACUAAGAGUUAAUUUGCCCAACAGGGGGGAGGAGGGUUCAAACACAUGAAGAUGAAGAAGAUAUCAAAGUGACUAUACAAAUACAGAUCUGUUUCAAGUUGAUGAAGAAAGAAGGAAGACAAAGUGGAAUGAUAUCCCUACAGCUGUAUCUUGUGUACUUACCUUCAGCCCCAAUAUAACCAAAUAAAGAGAAUUGUUGAUAAAACUGUAA
Xenopus tropicalis (tropical clawed frog) is the source of this 1186-nucleotide long non-coding RNA. RefSeq lists it as uncharacterized. The record is from RefSeq and is a predicted model, not a curated record. Lineage: Eukaryota; Metazoa; Chordata; Amphibia; Anura; Pipidae. The transcript has 2 exons.